GAUGAACGCUGGCGGCGUGCCUAACACAUGCAAGUCGAACGGAGUCCAGCCUUUAAGACCUUCGGGUCAAAGAGGGGAAGACUGAGUGGCGGACGGGUGAGUAACACGUGGGCAACCUGGCUCAUAGAGGGGGAUAACAGAGAGAAAUUUCUGCUAAUACCGCAUAAGCACACACUGCCGCAUGGCAGAGGGUGAAAAGAGAAUCGCUAUGAGAUGGACCCGCGUCUGAUUAGCCAGUUGGCAGGGUAAGAGCCUACCAAAGCGACGAUCAGUAGCCGAUCUGAGAGGAUGAACGGCCACAUUGGGACUGAGACAUGGCCCAGACUCCUACGGGAGGCAGCAGUGGGGGAUAUUGCACAAUGGGGGGAACCCUGAUGCAGCGACGCCGCGUGAGUGAAGAAGUAUUUCGGUAUGUAAAGCUCUAUCAGCAGGGAAGAUAAUGACAGUACCUGAAUAAGAAGCCCCGGCUAACUACGUG
Molecule: ribosomal RNA, 478 nt
Filed under: uncultured bacterium
Lineage: Bacteria
Description: partial 16S ribosomal RNA
Rfam family: Bacterial small subunit ribosomal RNA
Source: RNAcentral